This 273-nucleotide ribosomal RNA is filed under the name uncultured Prevotella sp. RNAcentral's name for it is "partial 16S ribosomal RNA". It matches the Rfam family "Bacterial small subunit ribosomal RNA", at positions 83 to 356 of the family's 1533-position model. Lineage: Bacteria; Pseudomonadati; Bacteroidota; Bacteroidia; Bacteroidales; Prevotellaceae. The record is from RNAcentral.
CCUUGAUGACGACUGGCGCACGGGUGAGUAACGCGUAUCCAACCUUCCCAUAACUACGGGAUAACCCGUUGAAAGACGGCCUAAUACCGUAUGAUAUCGUUUGCUGACAUCAAAUAACGAUUAAAGGUUUAGCGGUUAUGGAUGGGGAUGCGUCUGAUUAGCUUGUUGGCGGGGUAACGGCCCACCAAGGCUACGAUCAGUAGGGGUUCUGAGAGGAAGGUCCCCCACAUUGGAACUGAGACACGGUCCAAACUCCUACGGGAGGCAGCAGCG